RNAcentral lists this ribosomal RNA (253 nucleotides) under uncultured bacterium. RNAcentral describes it as "partial 16S ribosomal RNA". It matches the Rfam family "Bacterial small subunit ribosomal RNA", at positions 524 to 776 of the family's 1533-position model. The record is from RNAcentral.
UACGUAGGGGGCAAGCGUUGUCCGGAUUUACUGGGCGUAAAGAGCGUGUAGGCGGCCACGCAGGUCCGUUGUGAAAACUGGAGGCUCAACCUCCAGCUGUCGACGGAAACCGUAUGGCUAGAGUCCGGAAGAGGAGAGUGGAAUUCCUGGUGUAGCGGUGAAAUGCGCAGAUAUCAGGAGGAACACCGGUGGCGAAGGCGGAUCUCUGGGCCUGUCCUGACGCUGAGGAGCGAAAGCGUGGGGAGCGAACAGG